GCUCACUUCAAUUUCAUUACAUUCUCACUUAAAAUUCACUUGACCCGUCACUUAAUUGUCAAAUUCACUUGACCGGUCACUUAAAAUUGAAAUGAAUGUACAGGUAGCGAAUGACAGCCAUGUUGUGAAAGAUUGUUUUUAUUAUGGAAACAUAACAGAAUUGUGUAUGAGCUGAGCCCGAGAAAAAUAUCCUGUGAGGCGGAUAAUACGUCGUAGUGCAACUAUUCAUCCGAAUGAGGGGCCAAAAUAUGAAUCGGCAGAAGUUGUAACUUCUACAGAGCAACUAUGAAUAAAUUGGCCAUGGUGGGAAAUCUUUGUUGGAUGUUUCGGAAAUGCUUCCCGAUGGUAUUUUUAUUCUGAAAUUUUCAAGAACAGUGCAAAUAAAAGUAA
This is a long non-coding RNA of Uranotaenia lowii, 390 nucleotides long. RefSeq lists it as uncharacterized. The transcript has 3 exons. The record is from RefSeq and is a predicted model, not a curated record. NCBI's taxonomy places the organism in Eukaryota, Metazoa, Arthropoda, Insecta, Diptera, Culicidae.